RNAcentral lists this ribosomal RNA (621 nucleotides) under uncultured bacterium. RNAcentral's name for it is "bacterial SSU rRNA". It matches the Rfam family "Bacterial small subunit ribosomal RNA", at positions 202 to 842 of the family's 1533-position model. The record is from RNAcentral.
AAAAACUCCGGUGGUAUACGAUGGAUCCGCGUCUGAUUAGCUGGUUGGCGGGGUAACAGCCCACCAAGGCGACGAUCAGUAGCCGGCCUGAGAGGGUGAACGGCCACAUUGGGACUGAGACACGGCCCAAACUCCUACGGGAGGCAGCAGUGGGGAAUAUUGCACAAUGGGGGAAACCCUGAUGCAGCGACGCCGCGUGAGUGAAGAAGUAUUUCGGUAUGUAAAGCUCUAUCAGCAGGGAAGAAAAUGACGGUACCUGACUAAGAAGCCCCGGCUAACUACGUGCCAGCAGCCGCGGUAAUACGUAGGGGGCAAGCGUUAUCCGGAUUUACUGGGUGUAAAGGGAGCGUAGACGGCAGCGCAAGUCUGAAGUGAAAUCCCAUGGCUUAACCAUGGAACUGCUUUGGAAACUGUGCAGCUGGAGUGCAGGAGAGGUAAGCGGAAUUCCUAGUGUAGCGGUGAAAUGCGUAGAUAUUAGGAGGAACACCAGUGGCGAAGGCGGCUUACUGGACUGUAACUGACGUUGAGGCUCGAAAGCGUGGGGAGCAAACAGGACUAGAUACCCUGGUAGUCCACGCCGUAAACGAUGAUUACUAGGUGUUGGGGGACCAAGGUCCUUCG